This 11209-nucleotide long non-coding RNA is filed under the name Physcomitrium patens. RNAcentral describes it as "long non-coding RNA (PPAT_LNC008178)". Lineage: Eukaryota; Viridiplantae; Streptophyta; Bryopsida; Funariales; Funariaceae. The record is from RNAcentral.
UGUCGUCUGAGUGAGUCCGUGCUGCAGCUUUGGUGGGGCGGUGUGUUGCUGUUGGAUCGAUUCUGGUUACUGCUCUCUCGUCGGCGUGAAGGUGUCGCGUGGAGGACUGGGCAUGUUGUGUGUGGGGGGUGGUUUCGUGGAUGUUGAUGUGAAGUGGGGAAUUUGGGUGGAUAGUCGGUGACCAGCUAGUAGUAGUCUUCCGGCGCGGACAGUUGAACCUCGCUGCGUGCAUCGUAGUGCCUGAAUUUUUUUAUCCAAUUGUUCCGCCUGCCUGUUUUGUUAGUCCGCUAGUGUACUGCCUCAACACUUUUGUGUUCAAUCUAUCGCCUUUGGAGGCACAUGUGCACAUGUCAGUCGUCCGGUAGUGCGAAUCAGCUGCUUUGCACAUGUACACCGUAGUUGCGGUGGUUGGUUCUCCACCAACUUCUCGCCCUGUCCUUCCCUUUCAGAGCUUGACUUUGGCUUCAUAAGAUUACGUAACCUCCCUUCCCCCCCUAUCAGAAACACUUGUGCUUAUAAACUUCACACAAGAUUUCAGAAACAUUCUAUAAAUCCGAUUACCUUUGUUAUUUUUAAUGUCCAUGUCGGUGGAAUUGGUAGCGAGCUGAUUUGUCCUCGCUCUUACUCCGCUGACAAUCGAAUGAAUUGGCACUAUACAUGGCGUUCAGGAGCACAUGCAGGAGAAUGGACACAAGAAAGUGAAGACUGUCGACGAGUGGCUGCCUGUGACCGGCGAUCGCAAAGCCAAAUGGUGGUACUCCGCCUUCCACAAUGUUACCGCAAUGGUGGGCGCCGGAGUGCUGGGAUUGCCCAACGCCAUGGUCUACUUAACAUGGUGAGGGCUCCUCACGUUUUGUCUAAUCCGUCUCAGAGUCACACAGUUUCAUGUUGCAGUUUGCGGCAGUGGGCACAAGUAACGGAAUGGCUAUUCACAUGCAGGGGACCGGGAGUGGUGGUGCUGGUGGUGUCGUGGAUGAUCACGCUGUACACGCUCUGGCAGAUGGUGGAAAUGCACGAGAUGGUCGAGGGGAAGCGUUUCGAUCGGUACCAUGAGCUCGGACAGGAGGCAUUCGGACACGAUCUGGGCUUGUGGAUCGUAGUUCCCCAGCAAUUAAUCGUCGAGGUCGGUGUCGAUAUCGUGUACAUGGUUACAGGCGGAACGUCACUGCAGAAUUUCUACAAGCUUGUGUGCUCAGGCAACUGCCCGAUGGCACACCACACAAGUGCCUGGAUCGCAAUCUUCUCGUCAGUGCAUUUCGUUCUGGCGCAGUUGCCGAACUUCAACUCCAUUGCCGGGGUCUCCUUGGCUGCCGCUAUCAUGUCCUUGAGGUAAUUCGGUCAUUGAAUGCUGUUGCAAUCGGCAUCAGGUUGGUCGGUAGUAUCGACAACGACUCCCUUAACCUAUCGAUUUGUGUGCAGUUACUCGACGAUCGCGUGGGCCAUUCCAGCUUCCUACGGCCAUAGCACACCCCUCGUCGGCCCCGUAAACUACAAGCUCCCGGUUCAGUCUGUGUCAGCGCAUGUAUUCAAUGCCUUCAACGCCCUUGGGACCGUCGCAUUCGCUUACGCAGGCCACAAUGUCGUCCUGGAGAUUCAAGCCACGAUCCCCUCCACGAAGGAGCGGCCCUCCAAGAUCCCCAUGUGGAGAGGCGUGGUGCUGGCCUACAUCAUCGUUGCCAUCUGUUACUUCCCCGUCGCGCUCAUUGGCUACUGGGCUUACGGCAAUCAAGUCACAGACAACAUCCUCGGUUAUGUCGGUAGGCCGAGGGGGGUCGUGGCCAUGGCGAACCUCAUGGUUGUCGUUCACGUUAUUGGAAGCUACCAGAUCUACGCCAUGCCUGUUUUUGAUAUGUUAGAGUCUGUUCUUGUGAAACGCUUCCGGCUUGCUCCCUCCAGGAAGCUACGGCUCGUCACUCGCUCGCUCUACGUCGGUGAGUGACCCACGCAGAUCUGGCGUCUUUUUGAUAAUUACUCGCUGACCAUCUCCGUAGCCAAGAUUGAUGACCUUAAAUCUCCCCUCGUGCAAACAUGAGAUGUAAUGCUCAUCGUUAAUGGUGCAGCUUUUACUGCGUUUGUCGGUAUGACGUUCCCCUUCUUUGGAGCUCUUCUUGGUUUCUUCGGAGGAUUCGCCUUCGCUCCUACAACAUACUUUGUAAGAAUCUAGUCUACCGACUCAAUGUUGCAGCUCGUUAUUCUUAGUGAUCUCUUUUCCUUUAAGCGCUCGUACUUGUGUAGUGUUUGACUAGGAAUUGAAGCACUUAUCCAAGUGUUUGUGAAAUUGUGGCAGCUGCCGUGUAUCAUGUGGCUGUGCAUCGUCAAGCCCAAGGCAUUCAGUUUCUCGUGGAUUUUGAACUGGGUCAUCAUAUUCCUGGGAGUGCUGCUCAUGCUGGUUUCGUCCAUCGGAGGUUUGAGGGCGAUAAUUGUGUCCGCAUCAACCUACAAAUUCUACGAAUGAGCGAUCAUCUGGAUGGUGGAUAGGCUCUAUCAAUCAAGAUGGGGAUUACACCCACAUAAAACGAAAGUCGUGAUCUUAGAUAGAAUGCUGGACAGGUUCAUCGCAGCGUGUACAUUACUUGUGAAUCAUGGUUUCGUUGCUUCCAAAGGAUUGCUUUUACACUUCUGUAAAAGCAUAAUGCAGCUCGACCCUUUGUAAAAUGAAAAGCAAACGUUUGGCCUUGCUGCCCUGCGAACCUUGUGAACGAACUUAUUUGUCUCCAUUCCAUGUGUUUCGCGAUUCGCAAUUGCAUUGUAUUGCACUUGCAUAGAGGGUUCUGUCAAUGCAUAUGUGCCCUUGCUUAACCUCGUUAUGUCAUUGUUCGAAGUGGCAUGGCCUUCGGCUUUUUGUACUGAUAUUCUGUUGAGACUGACUCCCUUUCAGCUUCAUAUCAGAACUUUGGACUUCAUUUCCCAACUUCAGACUGAUCUGUGAACCCGUUCUUGCACUCCUAAUCGAUGAAAAAAGUAGUACAUUGACCUCGCUGUACACGUGGAUUUGCAAUUAGUCAAUCAUGCAUGGCAGCGUUCGCUUGCUGUUUGUUCGAGUGAAUUUGAGAACAGCAGGAUGUGUGAAGCACGAUACAUACAGAAACUAUCCAAGGAUAUCAGCAAAGAGCGUUCGGAAAUGUGGGUUCCCACCGCAGUGGACUCUAAACUCUCCCGGUUGUGGCAUUCGCAGCGCGCAACUGUUUCCUUGCAUGACAAAAUCGCAGCUAAUGUAAUAAAGACAAGUGAAAUGAGGGCCAUGGUUCACAAAACGUAGCAAUUAUUCAACAUCCAAAAGGAUAUACGCCAGCAAUAUGCAUCAACAGUGGUACAUUAGAUGCAGUGAACGGAUUUGAUACUAAAUCUCGCAUGGGCUGGAGGAAAAUAGCAUACCGACUGCUCCGACCCAGUUGUUUCACUUCCUGCACUGCUUGGAGCAUUCAAGCAUUGCUUCCUUAUGUCGAUGCACUUGGUCUAACAAUUUUUGCAUGCUCCAAGAAGUUUGGAUGGAAAAUACUGCUUGAAGUGAUACUGCGUGAUCAGGGUGGAGCUAGAGAGAGAGAGCUUUAGGAAAUUCUAGAGGUUGUAGAGAAUAGAUUUAUGUUUAAAGAAAGAAAGAAAAGACCAUAGUUGGAUUAGGAUUUUAAGAUGGUUACUUAUGUUGUUUGUGGUUAGAAUUGUGGAAAUGAAACCGUGGAGGACAAUUCUUGAUUGUAUAAUUGGAGCAGUAAGGUUUUGAUUGAAUUAAGAAAAAUAAUAAAAUAUCCCAAAAACUCUAAGCAUACACAACAAGUUGAGUACCAUUUAACAAAUUCUUGUGGUGAGGAAGUGUUUUUUUACUUUCUCUCAUAAUUAUGUUAGUUUUCUAUUACAAAGUAUGAUUAAAUUUGACAAUACAUACAAAAAUAUGUAAUUAUAGCAAACUUAGUUGGAAGAAAAAUUUUUAUUCUUCUAAGCUUAUUCUUCUUGAUGGUUGGUCUUUUAGAUACUUAGUGGAAAACAAAUAUUUUUAAAGGAGAAAAUCUACUAUCAAAUCCAUCUUUACAAAUGAAUAAAUAAUAAUAUAAAUAUAUAUAUAUAUAUAUAUAUAUAUAUCAUUGUAAGUAAUAAAAUCAUAUUAUAUCCAAAAUUUACUUCCUUGAGAACUUGAGGGUUUACAAAAGAACAAACAUAUUAGAUUUAUUAAAAAUCAUUACAAAUAAUAGUAUCACAUCAAAGUCAUCAUUAAUUUAUGUUAUAGAUUCAUCUUCUUGUUAAAUAGAAAUAAUUAUUCAAAGAGUUUUAGAGAGCCAUUUUAGUAUGCAAAGAAAAAAUGAGUGAUAAAUAAAAAAGACUAUCAUAAUAAAUAAAUAUAAACCAUACAAGAAUUGAAUUUUGGAAAGCUUACAAAUUUAAAUUUUACAAUAAUAAGUCACAAAAGUUCAAAAUAUCCACAAUUGGAAUCAUAAUUGUGAUGUAUCGAGCAAUUAGUCAACAAUAAAGAUAUAUAGAAAAAAAUCUAAGUAGUAAAUAAUAUAAGAACAUCAAAUUUAUUAAUAAUUAACAAUAAAAUUUGGAAUCUACAUCCAAUUAUGACAAGAGAAUAUGGAUGUAUUAAUAAAAGAAAAUCUACCAAGUUUUUUGUGAUUUAGUACUUGCAUACUAUUUUCUUGUCUAUUUUACAAUCCAAUAUCAACAUAUAAGGUAGCCAAUCUAUUGUUGACCAUCCCUUCAUUUUCAAUCUACAAAGGAUCAUAUUUCGGCUAUGUUGGCAAUCUCUUAUCUACUAAGUUUGACAUUUUAAAGUCAACAAUAGUUUGGGAGCCUUCCAGAAAUGAAUUAAAUUCUAAUUAAAAUAAAUUUCUAGUGACUAAUAAAAACUAAUUUUUGUAUUAAUAGAGCUGGAUACAUGUGGCAGCUGAUUAUGGAUUUGCAAUUGCUUUGUUUAUAUUUAUGCUAUAGUUGGUAUGAGUGCUUCUGAUAUUUAAAAUUACAUUAGCCAUAUGAAAAAAAUCCAUACAUAAUUGGUUGUAAAUAAAAUGAAGAUAGCUUGUGUUUCUUCUCCACAAACAACCAGUCAAUUUCAAUGUUAUAUUAGAAGAAAAUCACAUUAAAUAAGAAGAAAUUUUUGUAGUCUUGAUAUUUUGAUUGCUUUUGAUUAUCUAUCUUUACCAUUCUAAUGUGCACCACUACUAUGUAUAUUUCUUUCCAAUUAGCCCAUAACUUCACAGUGUCUAAUUAGCUCUUAACUUUGAGUUAAAAAAUGAUCCUUCAGUUGGUUUUUUUCUUAGAAAUUCAAACUGAUAUUUUUGUAAUCAAGGAAAGUGGGUGCAGAGAAAGAGGAGGGAAAGGAAGGAGGGAAAGAAGAAAAGUGUCUAUGUCGGAAUAUUAAUUUUGAGGGAUCAAAUUUUUGCUACAAUUCUAUAUUAUUGAAAAAAGCCCUAGAGAGGUAAUUAAUAAAAAUUUAAAAUAUAAAAUAUAAUAAAAAUUUAAAAUAUAGAAUAUAAUAAAAGUAAAAAAAGAAGGUGAGUGCAUGUCAUGGAUAUGCAUAUUUAUUUUAAUAAUUACCUAUAUGAUUAGCUAGAAGUAGAUAAAAGUAGAUUAAUUUUAUAAUAUGUUAUAAAAAAAACUUUUUAGAAGCUUCAUAGAUGUAUUUUCUAUUUUACACAUAUUUAUAGUUGAUUAGUAUGUUAUGUUAGGGACCAUAUAUAAGACAAGGAUUUAAGACCAAGGAAUGGAGUUAAUUAGACAUUAAAACAACAACUAGAUAUAAGACAAGAAGGUCUUGGUUAGAUCACAAGAAGCGAGUUGUUGAGACUAAGGAUUCCCUCAGCCUUGACUCCUAUAUAUACUAGGUCCUAAAAAGCUUCUUGAGAAGUUUUUGUGAAGCUAGAAAACAAAAUAAGCCUAAGAUUCUUCUUUAGCAACUUCCUAAAUCAUCUAAAGCCUCCUAGAACCUUCUAAGAUCUCCUAUGACCUUCUAAAACUUUCUUAGAAUCUAUUGGAACCUUUCGAAACCUUCUAGAAUCUCCUAAAAUCUCCUAGAACCUUCAAAAGCCUUCGUAGAAUCUAUGAUAUCUUCUAGAACCUUCUAGAACCUUCAAAAGCCUUCGUAGAAUCUAUUGAUAUCUUCUAGAACCUUCUAGAACCUUCUAGAAUCUUCUUUAGUUGUAUGUUCAUGACAUCAUUUCUUCUUCUAGCUUUGACAUCUCUGAGAAGCAAUGUUGUAGUAAGUUAAUAUAUGCAUAAGAAGUUGAAGAUCUGUCACAUGGUGUUAGCUAUAUAUUCCAGUUUUUUUUUGCGAGGUAAAUGGUUCAUAGGCCCUUGUAGCCAUCAAUAGUGCCUCAAGCCUUCUACUUGUGAUUAAGCAUAAACUUGGGUAUUUUCAUUAUGGAAUUGUUCUACAAACACUCCUUCUAGAUAUCCUUUAUAGGCAGGUUCUAUCUCAAACAUAAUUACCAACAACCUAUUACUAGGUAUUUCUUGAUGUCUUCAUGGUUUAGAUAGUUCUUUAUCUUGAGAUCAUUUCCGCAAGCUACUUGGUUGAGAUGGUAUGACCGGCAAGGCAUCUAUCUCUUGACUAUCCAUAUCAUAUAAAGUAGACAAGGCUAAAAGAAUAUAAAUAGGCUAUGGUCAUGAACUCAAACUAUUGACUUAUAUUAUUCUAAAUAUUUCACAACUAUCACUUCAAAGGUUGCAUCCUCCCCUUCUUUAUGACGCUGUCAUGUUGUGACACAAUUAUAUGGUGAAAAUAUGACUAAAAAUGAUUUUUUAAUUAAUAUUCUAUUAUAUUAGUCCAACAAGAAUUCAAAAUAUUUUAAUAAGGCUUUUAUGAAAGCCUCUUAGCCUAUUUUCUUAUCUUAAUAGCAAGUAGUUAAAAGUUAAUUAAUAUUUUUACCUUAUAGAAUAUAAAAACUCUUUUAUUACCUUAGAAAGGCCAUAAAUUGAUAAAAUCAAGGUAGAAGAGAUAAAUAGUUGGUAUGAUUGAUACUAGGAUUAAGUUGACACUAGGAUUGGGCUAAAAAAUCCUUAAGAUAGGUUAGAUUGAUACCUCGGGGUUGACCAUUUCUAAGACAAGGUUGAAAUCAGAUCUUUGGUCACUAAAUUGACCGCUUAGGAAAAAUUAAGAAUUCAUUUGAAGAUUGGAAGUUAGAAUUUAAGAGCUAGCUUGAAGCGCUUUCUAGAGGCAUAAGGAUUAUUUUUGUAGGAUUUUUGAAAACUUAAAAAUUAUUGUUCAAAAUCAGGGUUUGUAUUGGUGAUGUGGGUUUUAUAUAAUAUAAUUAGGACUAGCAAUUUUGGCUAGUUCAUACAAUUGGAGUAACAUCGAUAGUUCAAAAAUUUGAAACUAUUUGAAUUAUUAAAUAUGCUAAAUUUAUACAAAAUUUUGUGAUAAUCUAACAAUGUGGUUUAGAGAUAUUUGGUUUUUAGCACAAGAGGGUUUUAGAAGUUGGCAAUUUGGAAUUGGGUAGGGUUUCUAUGAUAUCUAGAGUUUUAUUAGUUGAAUCAAGGUGAAAUUUGGCAUGGUAUUGAAAGACUUGAAGAUCAAGUUGCAUACCAAUUUUGAAUCAAAGUUAAUGGUUGAAGAAUGAAAAAUUAUUGCUGGGAUUUUUGCUUCAUUCUUCAAGUUGGUGGCUCAGUUAUAUUAGUGCAAUUUUUGGAGGUUUUCUCACAAUCUAAAAGUUGGAUUGGACUGAAAAUUCUUAAGCGUAUAGAAGACUUGUAUUAAAAAUUGCACAAAAAAAUUUACAUCAAGUGGAAGGUCAAAUUAGAAGUUACAGCUUGUUAAAGCUCAUUGAUUAAGAUUGGGACUUAUAAGAAAAAUUUAAAUUGCUUAAAUAUGAAAGUAACAAGAUAUUGAGAUUUAUAUGUGAUUAAGGCUACUAAGAAGAGUAUUUUUUAGCACUUAUGAAUUAGAAUUUGAAUUAUAUUCUUCUCAUAUGGAUGAAACCUAUUAGGCUUUUGGAUGUUUAUGAAAUACAACCUCACCUUCCACAGCUAAGUGCCCAGUGCAUUUCCAAGCAAGAUAACAUAUAAUACGAUAACGCUAAGAACUAAAAAUCUUUAUGGUAAAGCCAUCUUACUAAACUAUUAUUCUUCAUUUUGCCACUUUUGGUUUGAAUGGAUGUUGUUGAUAGAACCUUCGAACCUUCAUUUGUGCAUUUAUAAGGUUGUCAGCUGGUUCCCAUGUGUAAUCGUUGAUAUCAUAUCCAUGCCAAUGGACUAGAUAUUCAAGCCUUUUAUGUUUUAUCUUUGAAACUAAUACCUCUUCUACUUCAAAUUCAACAUAAUCAUUGAUUUUAAUUAUAGGAGGUGGUGGUUGUCUUUGACCUAAUAUGUUGAAUUCUUUAUACCUUUUCAAAAGUAAAACAUGAAAGACUAGAUGAAUCUUCAUAGAUGAAGGUAAAUCCAAGUGAUAAGUUAUAUAAUUAAUUUAUUUCUGAAUCACAAAUGGUCCUAGCUUUUGAUAGUCUAACUUAUAACAUAACGUGUUGGUUUUUAUAUUGCACCAAAAAAGCCAUACUUUGUCACCAACUUGAAAUGAAGGAUGUUCCUUCCUCAAUUCAUCCGCUAGUAGCUCAUAAUGUUAUUGAACUAUUUCUAGGUGAGUCUUAAUAGUUGCUUGAAGUUUGGCCAUCUUUUUAUAAACUCCUCUGUUGUUGGAUUUGUUGACUUUGAAGGCUCUAUCAUAUCCAACUUUGAAUGAUGACCAUAAUUUGAGUAGGAUGGCAUUUGCUGCGUAGAUACAUGGAUUGUGUUAUUAUAUGCAAACUCCACCAAUGACAUAUAAAAAGUCCAAUCAUCUUGUUGAUAACUGAUGGUACAUCUCAAAUAUUGCUCAAAGAUUUGAUUGACCCACUCCAAUUGGCCAUCAGUUUGAAGAUCAAAGGUAAGAGAAAGGUUGAUGUCAACUUUAAGAAGCUUAAAAGGUGCCUUUUAAAACCUUGAUACAAAUUGUGAUCCACAAUCAGACAUAAUGUCGUCUAAAAAUCCAUAGUAAUGAUAAACAUUUUCAAUAAAGAGUCUUGUCAUCUCUUCAUCAAUAAUUGACUUUUUGCAAAAUAUAAAAUAUGCCAUCUUGGUCAAUCGAUCAAUAACUACAAAGAUAGUAUCAAAUGAGUUUGAUGGUGGAAGAUCUAUAAUAAAAUCUAUAGAAAUAGGUGACCAUGAUUGUCUUGGAAUAGGAAGGGGUUGAAGAAGUCCAUAUAACUGAUGUCGAGGGUUUUUUGACCUUGAACAAGUAUCACAUGAUAGUACGAAUUCUUUAAUGUCCUUUAACAUUUUAGGCCACCAAAAGUCUCUAGAUAGAAGUUCCAAGGUCUUGUUGAAUCCAAAAUGUAUCACUACAAGAAAGUCAUGAUGUGUUUGAAGAAUGCACAAGCAAGUUAAUCCUUCAAGAAUGAACAAAUGUUCUUCAAAGAAUAAGAUGUUGUCUUCAUACUUAAAUUUAGAAGACUCUUCAGGAAGGUUGUUGAAAAAAUAGUUGAUAUUAAGAACAAGAGGGUCCAUGUUUGAGGCUUUAUAAAUUUGAUUAAGAAAUGAUAAAUCUACAAGGAUUGAUAUAUUGAUUGCUCAAAGGUGAAAUUACUUAGGUUUUAACAAGAUUAUCCAUUAUUGAUCAUAUGCUAUCUCGUCUUCUUUUGGUUCAAGGUAGGAACAUCUUUAUAAUAUAUUUAAUAAUCCUUAUUGACUCUCAGAUCAAUAUGUGAUGCAAAAGUCAAAUCAUGAUAAAGAUAUAUUCUAACGUCCUUGGUGACGGUUUAAUAUUUAGGCUGACAUGAAGUAUUUAAGAUUCUUGUGAUUUGUAUAUACAAUCACAUGUAGAGACGAGCCUUCAAGAAAGUGGCUCCAUUCUAGGAAAGAAUCUAUGAUAGCAAAUAACUCUUUAUUGUCAAUUUUAUAAUAAAUUUUUACUACUGAGAAUUUUUUAGAAUGAAAUGCAAUACGAUGAAGUUUUUCAUCUUCUCCAUAUUAUGACAAAACUGUUGCCAAUGCAAAGUUUGAGGCAUCGGUCUCUAUAAAAUAGGGCUUAUUAAAAUGUGGAUGUAUCAAAAUUGGAGCUGAUGUAAAAGCAUCUUUUAAGCUUUCUCUACUUUGAGGCUCCAGUCAAGUUUGUUUUUGCAUGUCAACCACAUAAGUGGAGCUGCAAUCUUGGAGUAAUUAUUAACAAAAAUCUUAUAGAAGUUUGCAAAUCCAAGAAAACAUUGGACAUCAUGUAUAAUUUUUGGCUUUGUCCAAUCGAUGAUUGCUUGUACCUUCUUUGGAUCCAUAAAAAGGCCUUUGUUGGAAAUAAUAUAUUCAACAAAUUUGACUUGAAGUACAUGAAAUACAUACUUCUCCAGUUUUGCAUGUAAGACACUACUUCAUAGUUUUUCUAGUAUAAGGCGGACAUAUUUUUUGUGGUCUUUCAGAUUCUUAGAAAAGAUCUGAAUAUCAUACAAAUACAUCACAACAAAGUUAUCAAGAUACUCACAAAAUAUGUCAUUCUUUAAGUGUUGAAAUAUAGCUGGAAUAUUAGUAAGUCUAAAAGGCAUGACAUUGUAUUCAAAAUAUCCAUACCUAAUGCAAAAUGUUGUCUUCCAUUCAUCUCCCUCAUUAAUAUGUACUAAGUUCUAUACGCCUCAUAGAUCAAUCUUUAUAAAGAACUUUGCUUAGCUAAAUUAAUCAAAAAGUUUAGAUAUCAAUGGCAAUGAAUAUUCAUUCUUUACCAUGAUUUUAUUAAGAUUGCAAUAAUUGACACACAUUUUUAAGGAUCCAUCUUUCUUCUUAAAUAAUAUCGGAGCACCAAUUGUUGACUUGGAAUAUCAAAUAAAAUUCUUAGCCAGAUUUUCCUCAAUGUAUUCUUUUAAAGUCGCAAGCUCAUUCUGGGAUAAAUUAUAGAUGGAUCCAAAUAGUCAUUGAAUACCUUCUUAAAGGUCAAUUACACAAUUAUAAGGACAAUUCUUUGGUAGGAUAUCCGUUGUCAGGGUAGAAGGAGUUUGCCUCAAAAAAUCACUGGAUUCUUGGCUAUCACUAAUUACUCAAUCAAAUCUUGAAAUAAGAAAGACCAAGUUUAUAUGUAUAUAUAUAUAUAUAUAUAUAUAUAUAUAUAUAUAUAAUAAUUUUAGAUGCUAUUAUACUAAAUAUAUAAAUCUUAAGUUCCCAAAAAUAUCCAAAAUAUGAUAAAACUCCUAAAUCCUUAAAUAUUCUUAUAACCUAUUAUUUCCAAACUUUAAAAACUCAUAUCUUCUACUCAGAACGUUCAAACACA